This 496-nucleotide ribosomal RNA is filed under the name uncultured bacterium. Its description in RNAcentral is "partial 16S ribosomal RNA". It matches the Rfam family "Bacterial small subunit ribosomal RNA", at positions 28 to 506 of the family's 1533-position model. The record is from RNAcentral.
GAUGAACGCUGGCGGCGUGCCUAAUACAUGCAAGUCGAGCGAACGGACGAGAAGCUUGCUUCUCUGAUGUUAGCGGCGGACGGGUGAGUAACACGUGGAUAACCUACCUAUAAGACUGGGAUAACUUCGGGAAACCGGAGCUAAUACCGGAUAAUAUUUUGAACCGCAUGGUUCAAAAGUGAAAGACGGUCUUGCUGUCACUUAUAGAUGGAUCCGCGCUGCAUUAGCUAGUUGGUAAGGUAACGGCUUACCAAGGCAACGAUGCAUAGCCGACCUGAGAGGGUGAUCGGCCACACUGGAACUGAGACACGGUCCAGACUCCUACGGGAGGCAGCAGGAGGGAAUCUUCCGCAAUGGGCGAAAGCCUGACGGAGCAACGCCGCGUGAGUGAUGAAGGUCUUCGGAUCGUAAAACUCUGUUAUUAGGGAAGAACAUAUGUGUAAGUAACUGUGCACAUCUUGACGGUACCUAAGCAGAAAGCCACGGCUAACUACGU